Molecule: unclassified non-coding RNA, 653 nt
Filed under: Hevea brasiliensis (rubber tree)
Lineage: Eukaryota; Viridiplantae; Streptophyta; Magnoliopsida; Malpighiales; Euphorbiaceae
Source: RNAcentral
GCUGAUUCAAAACUAGUACAACUACAAACAUUAAGCAAUUCUCUAUGGAUGUACGUGAGAAUCAGCUGUCUGUUGGGAGUGGAUUAACAGGUUGGGUAGAAUCACAAUAUCAUAGUUCAUAAAGUAUAUUUCAAGCAUUGAGCUAUGAGAACACUUUAACAUAAACUAGUAGUCCAUUUAUUGAUUGAACUUCAAAAUAACAUAUUUUUAAGUUUCAGCAACAGUUUCGGUUUGAAUUCGACCAGGUCAUUCUCAAGUUACAAUGUCAGCAACGGAAAGGCAAUUUAAUCCUACGACAGGUUCACGUUCUGCUUCUGACAUGGCAGUGGCUUGUUCAUUCAGUUGCUUUGCCUUUGCGCCUGCUACUGCCAGUUUCCAAGAGGUAACAAACCAUUGAAUCCACAUCAUCACCGAAUAUGCUGUAAGCCUCCAUCACUUGCAGAUAGCUGAAUCCCAUCGACAGAACCAUCUGCAUACUACUGCUGAGAACAUUAUCCUGCAAACUCUGUGCCCUCACCUUCGUUUCACCGCCCGAUGAUCUAGUUCCAGAAGAUGAUGGUUCAGCACCAGAAGUAGAAGAUUCUUUGUGACCAAGCUGCAGCUUCAACUUGUCAUUGGCAAGAUACUCUGCACGAGAAGCUUCCAUCACCAUU